RNAcentral lists this small RNA (22 nucleotides) under Arabidopsis thaliana (thale cress). RNAcentral's name for it is "AGO4_13450". The record is from RNAcentral. Lineage: Eukaryota; Viridiplantae; Streptophyta; Magnoliopsida; Brassicales; Brassicaceae.
UAGGAUGGGUGACCUCCCGGGA